RNAcentral lists this ribosomal RNA (330 nucleotides) under Triticum aestivum (bread wheat). RNAcentral describes it as "partial small subunit ribosomal RNA". The record is from RNAcentral. Lineage: Eukaryota; Viridiplantae; Streptophyta; Magnoliopsida; Poales; Poaceae.
AUGUUGUACAUUGCCUAUGAGUUGAAUCGAAAUUUGGCGCUUCCUGGCGCCUUCCUUGUGUUAAAAAAAAGCACUGCUUUUGUUGUUACCACUGAUUGCGUCUUCAUCUGUGUUCAUCCCAUGCAUUCCUGCAGAACAUGCCAUUUUAGAAGGAAAGUAUUUCAAGUACCUGAAAGGCUGAAAGUGUUGAAAAGAGAUAUGAUGGCAAUUCUCCCUGAAGAUUUUAUCCCCAUAGAGACAUCAUCUAUUCCUCCCAAAAGCACAACUGUGCAAUAUGAGCUUUAUGACUCUUGGGAAGAUGAAAUACUUUGGAGGAGACGAAAUCAAUAA